GAUGAAGAAUGUAGCGAAAUGCGAUAAGUGAUGUGAAUUGCAGAAUUCAGUGAAUCAUCGAAUCUUUGAACGCACAUUGCGCCCGUCAGUAUUCUGGCGGGCAUGCCUGUUCGAGCGUCAUUACGCCCCUCAAGUCCCCUGUGGACUUGGUGUUGGGGAUCGGCGAGGCUGGUUUUCCAGCACAGCCGUCCCUUAAAUUAAUUGGCGGUCUCGCCGUGGCCCUCCUCUGCGCAGUAGUAAAACACUCGCAACAGGAGCCCGGCGCGGUCCACUGCCGUAAAACCCCCCAACUUUUUAUAGUUGACCUCGAAUCAGGUAGGACUACCCGCUGAACUUAAGCAUAUCAAUAAGCGGAGGA
This 358-nucleotide unclassified non-coding RNA is filed under the name soil metagenome. Its description in RNAcentral is "partial contains 5.8S ribosomal RNA, internal transcribed spacer 2, and large subunit ribosomal RNA". The stretch from base 1 to 120 matches the Rfam family "5.8S ribosomal RNA", at positions 35 to 154 of the family's 154-position model. The record is from RNAcentral.